Molecule: ribosomal RNA, 253 nt
Filed under: uncultured bacterium
Lineage: Bacteria
Description: partial 16S ribosomal RNA
Rfam family: Bacterial small subunit ribosomal RNA
Source: RNAcentral
UACGUAGGGCGCAAGCGUUAUCCGGAAUUAUUGGGCGUAAAGAGCUCGUAGGCGGCCUGUCACGUCGGGUGUGAAAGCCCGGGGCUUAACCCCGGGUCUGCAUUCGAUACGGGCAGGCUAGAGUGUGGUAGGGGAGAUCGGAAUUCCUGGUGUAGCGGUGAAAUGCGCAGAUAUCAGGAGGAACACCGGUGGCGAAGGCGGUUCUCUGGGAAUGUCCUGACGCUGAGGAGCGAAAGUGUGGGGAGCGAACAGG